This 381-nucleotide ribosomal RNA is filed under the name uncultured eukaryote. RNAcentral's name for it is "partial 18S ribosomal RNA". It matches the Rfam family "Eukaryotic small subunit ribosomal RNA", at positions 592 to 976 of the family's 1831-position model. The record is from RNAcentral.
CAAUAGCGUAUAUUAAAGCUGUUGUGGUUAAAAAGCUCGUAGUUGGAUUUCUGUCAAGGACAACUGGUCCGCCCUCCGGGUGAGCACAUAGUUUGGUCUUGGCAUCUUGCUGGAAACUGUUGCUGCGCUUGGUUGUGUGGUGCAGCUUUCAGCACUUUCACUUUGAGGAAAUUGGAGUGUUUCAAGCAGGCACAUGCCUUUGGACACAGUAGCAUGGAAUAAUUAGAUUGGGCUUUUGCUCCAACUUGUUGGUUCCUGGAGCUGAGGUGAGAAUCAAUGGGGAUUGUUGGGGGCAUCCGAAUUUAGCCGUCAGAGGUGAAAUUCUUGGAUCUGCUAAAGACGGACAACUGCGAAAGCGUUUGCCCAGGAUGUUUUCAUUGA